This 452-nucleotide long non-coding RNA is filed under the name Haliotis rufescens (red abalone). RNAcentral's name for it is "uncharacterized LOC125381553". The record is from RNAcentral. Lineage: Eukaryota; Metazoa; Mollusca; Gastropoda; Lepetellida; Haliotidae.
UAUCUAUUAACGAACUAAAUGUUGUCACAAGCAAUAUUACAGUUAAAAACAAUUGGCGCGUAUUUUUUGCGGCGUGAGAGCGACUGCAGAAAAGUUUAGCCUGUUGCCUCGUGAAGUGACGUCAGAAUGACGUCACAUUGUCGCGGAAGAUUUGUUGUCACCAGCCAUCUUAGCUCAAACUCACUCUGGACAUAAUAUAUUACAAGCAAGUGAUUGUGCAGCAACUGGAACUGGACAGAUGAUCUGUGAAUUCGAUUGAGGUGGAGAAAACAGUAUUGUGGGAGCGUAUUUGUUUAAAGUACAUAUCACUGACAGAAAGUUACCAAGGCAUAAGGAGAGACUGAGGAUACAGUUGAAGAUCAUCCCUGUGACUUUUCAUUUUAGGACUGAAAAGGCUCCCCAGCAACUCAGCCCAUGUUCUGACUUGUCAUUUAACAAAUAAAUAAAGGUCA